Molecule: long non-coding RNA, 332 nt
Organism: Drosophila arizonae
Lineage: Eukaryota; Metazoa; Arthropoda; Insecta; Diptera; Drosophilidae
Gene: bbg
Source: RefSeq, a predicted model, not a curated record
AUUGCCGCUCUGCAGUCUCCGCCAAGUUCAUUCACGUUCAUUCACGUUUCAUCACCGCUGGCCGUCUAAUUAAAUCUUUGCUGUGCAUUCGAGCGCAACAGUUAAUUGCAUUCAUUUAUCGUUGAUGCAAAUAAUUUAAAACAUUUGAAAUUAACUCUUGAUGAUUGCCUUUGAAGAAAGUGAAAUCUCUUUCUCUCUCGCUACGAAAAAAAAAAAACAAAUCAAAAACACAAAUGGAUAAUGCUAUAAUUAUGUUAAUUUUAAUAACAGUUAAGUGUUAACACAGUUUAUUCGGUAACAAAGAGAAAUAAUCAUAAUAAUACUGAAAUAUA